CCCCAGACUCCUACGGGAGGCAGCAGUGGGGGAUAUUGCACAAUGGGGGGAACCCUGAUGCAGCGACGCCGCGUGGGUGAAGGAGUGCUUCGGCAUGUAAAGCCCUAUCGGCAGGGAAGAAGCAAGACGGUACCUGACUAAGAAGCCCCGGCUAACUACGUGCCAGCAGCCGCGGUAAUACGUAGGGGGCAAGCGUUAUCCGGAUUUACUGGGUGUAAGGGGAGCGUAGACGGCAGUGCAAGUCCGGAGUGAAAGCCCGGGGCUCAACCCUGGGACUGCUCUGGAAACUGUAAAGCUGGAGUGCGGGAGGGGCAGGCGGAAUUCCUGGUGUAGCGGUGAAAUGCGUAGAUAUCAGGAGGAACACCGGCGGCGAAGGCGGCCUGCUGGACCGUAACUGACGUUGAGGCUCGAAAGCGUGGGGAGCAAACAGGAUUAGAUACCCGCGUA
This 447-nucleotide ribosomal RNA is filed under the name uncultured bacterium. RNAcentral's name for it is "bacterial SSU rRNA". It matches the Rfam family "Bacterial small subunit ribosomal RNA", at positions 329 to 792 of the family's 1533-position model. The record is from RNAcentral.